AGUGAACGCUGGCGGUAGGCCUAACACAUGCAAGUCGAACGGCAGCACAGUAAGAGCUUGCUCUUACGGGUGGCGAGUGGCGGACGGGUGAGGAAUACAUCGGAUUCUACUUUUUCGUGGGGGAUAACGUAGGGAAACUUACGCUAAUACCGCAUACGACCUACGGGUGAAAGCAGGGGAUCUUCGGACCUUGCGCGAUUGAUUGAGCCGAUGUCGGAUUAGCUAGUUGGCGGGGUAAAGGCCCACCAAGGCGACGAUCCGUAGCUGGUCUGAGAGGAUGAUCAGCCACACUGGAACUGAGACACGGUCCAGACUCCUACGGGAGGCAGCAGUGGGGAAUAUUGGACAAUGGGCGCAAGCCUGAUCCAGCCAUACCGCGUGGGUGAAGAAGGCCUUCGGGUUGUAAAGCCCUUUUGUUGGGAAAGAAAAGCAGCAGGUUAAUACCCCGCUGUUCUGACGGUACCCAAAGAAUAAGCACCGGCUAACUUCGUG
RNAcentral lists this ribosomal RNA (492 nucleotides) under uncultured bacterium. Its description in RNAcentral is "partial 16S ribosomal RNA". It matches the Rfam family "Bacterial small subunit ribosomal RNA", at positions 29 to 507 of the family's 1533-position model. The record is from RNAcentral.